RNAcentral lists this ribosomal RNA (90 nucleotides) under Bacillus spizizenii. RNAcentral's name for it is "partial 23S ribosomal RNA". It matches the Rfam family "Bacterial large subunit ribosomal RNA", at positions 2835 to 2925 of the family's 2925-position model. Lineage: Bacteria; Bacillati; Bacillota; Bacilli; Caryophanales; Bacillaceae. The record is from RNAcentral.
CCCUGAAAGAUGAUCAGGUUGAUAGGUCUGAGGUGGAAGUGUGGCGACACAUGGAGCUGACAGAUACUAAUCGAUCGAGGACUUAACCCA